AGCUUUUGGGGCAGCUGGCCACAGGAAACAGGCCCACAGACACCCAAGCUAUCCACAAGAGUGAGACUGAGACAGAUAAUGAAGGGGACAAGCAGGCUGCUGCAGUCUCCUCUACACACAAGAUUAUGCUGAGAGAUCACAGGAAAAAUAGAGGAGGUAAACAUGUAGGUGUGAAGAUAACUACAUGAAGAAGAGGGAGGCAAAUAGUACUGCAUGGGGAAAGAGGGAAGAAAAGAACAGCCGGUGAAGUUGACUCCUAAGGAACAGACUGUCUGUGAUGUGGGUGUAAGUGGAACUAAUGACAGGCACUUUAAGACAAGACCUUUUAGCUGGAGAUGAAACAGAGUUUCAGACAAAGAGCCGUGAAUGAAGUUCUGCUCUCAGGUCAGCAGUCCCUGGCCCAGGCAGUUUAAAGAGGAAGUGGUGAGAGACAUUUGGAUAAGCAACUGACUGGCUUGGGGGUGGGGGAAAUGGAUUAAAAUAGAACAUAGGGAAGA
Molecule: long non-coding RNA, 497 nt
Organism: Alligator sinensis (Chinese alligator)
Lineage: Eukaryota; Metazoa; Chordata; Crocodylia; Alligatoridae
Exons: 3
Source: RefSeq, a predicted model, not a curated record